UCAGAGGAGAGUUCGAAUGGAGGAGGGAUUUGAGUAACAACAAUCAACCGACUGGUUGUCAGAGUCUGGUACUGCAAGCUAUAACGCUAUUUUCUCAAAUACUAACGGGUAGAAAAGCACAGACUCGUUUCCUUUGAGCGCACAAGCACCAUGAGCAGCUCUACCAAAUCCAGAAACUUCCGCCGCCGAGGCGAUGACUAUGAUGAUAACAACGAUACUAGCACCAACAUUCACAGCUCCGUCCCUUCUUCCGCUGUCUCCCGUAAACCUUCUGCCUCUUCCUCUUCUUCCAAACCCAAGAAGCUCCUCAGCUUUGCCGACGACGAAGACGACGAUACCCCAUCUUCCCGCAUCUCCUCCUCCAAAUCUUCUGCUUCUCAGAAACCUUCUUCGCGCCUCACCAAACCCAGUUCUUCUCACAAGCUCACCGCCUCCAAGGACCGUCUACCUCCUACCCCAUCGUCUACCGCCUCCAAUGUGUUUCCCCAAGCAGGAACUUACACCAAAGAAGCCCUUCUUGAGCUCCAAAAGAACACCCGCACCCUCGCUAAACCCACGUCUUCCGCUUUGAAGACUCCUUCCUCAUCUACUUCUGAGCCCAAAAUCAUUCUCAAGGGCCUCCUCAAACCAGCCCAGGAAGACCCUGUCUCGCAAACCCUAAAACAAUCCCAACAAUUAGGCUCCGAGGAAGAAGACCAACAGCCAGAAGAUAGUAACAGGAAUGAUGCGGAAAAUCGAUUGGCAUCAUUGGGGUUGGGGAAGUCGAAGGAUUAUUCGUUGAUUCCAGACGAGGAGACUAUCAAGAAGAUCAGGGCAAAAAGGGAGCGGAUGAGGCAGUCGAGGGCAGCUGCUCCCGAUUAUAUAUCCUUGGAUGGAGGUUCUAACCAUGGAGCGGUAGAAGGCUUGAGCGAUGAGGAGCCUGAGUUUCGGACGCGGAUUGCCAUGAUUGGCAAGAAAGAGACCAGUAGCAGCAGUCACGGUGUGUUUGAGGAUUUUGACAAUGACGGUGAUGACAAUGGUCAUAUCAAAGCAAUGAUUGGUAUCACUGCUGCUAGAUAUCCCAAUAGUCAAGUCAUUGUGGAGGAUGGUACUGGUGGUGUCGACGAUGAGGAUGAGGAGGACAAGAUGUGGGAGGAAGAGCAAUUCAGGAAGGGUUUAGGGAAGAGAAUGGACGAUGGGUCUGGUACUAACAGGGUCUUCACUAGUGUUACUACUUCUGUGGUGCAAAAUCAGCAGCCACAACAGCAGCUGCAGAGACCGGUUAUGUAUGGUUCUGUUCCAAGCAUUGGAGGGGCAUCUGUAGCAUCUCAAGGUUUAGAUGCCUUGUCCAUACCGCAACAGGCUGAGAUUGCUACGAAAGCUUUGCAGGAUAAUAUCAGGAGGCUUAAGGAAUCUCAUAGUAGAACAGUUUCGUCACUGACAAAGACUGAUGAGAAUUUAUCUGCCUCAUUGAUGAAUAUUACUGCUCUUGAAAGAUCUCUAUCUGCCGC
Molecule: unclassified non-coding RNA, 1490 nt
Filed under: Hevea brasiliensis (rubber tree)
Lineage: Eukaryota; Viridiplantae; Streptophyta; Magnoliopsida; Malpighiales; Euphorbiaceae
Source: RNAcentral